AGGGCCCGGCUCCAUCGCAGGAGCAGCCGCCGUCACCACCACCGGUGUCGCCGCCUUCAUGCCUAGCCUGCGGGCGUUGUCCCUGCUGAAGAUCUGGGAGCUUAAGGCGGCUCCAACCAAUCACGGAUGGGCUUUGAGGGCGUGGACCCUCCCACUUCCGUCUUGCGCGGGGUCUCCCAGAGGAGGUGUGGUCCGCGAUCUCCGUUAGCUCCAAGGCGGAAGGAUCUGUCGUCCCACUGCAGUGUCGGGUUUCCGUUGUCAAAUAGGAAGUGAAGCCACGGGCCGCCAUCCUUAAGCAAUUCCCGCUAUCUCAGACUCCUGAACCACAGACGGGAUGGUUUAUAAAGAAUAGAGGUUCCAGAGGCAGGGAUAUUCAAGAACUGUGUGCCAGCCUUCCUGCUGCAUCUUGAUGCGAUAGAGAGAGUCACAUGCCCAGACAGACAAGCCUGCCUGCUCAGAUCUCACUUCUUCCUGUAAAGCCACUGGUGGUGUUUAUGGAAAGUCCAUGCUGGAAUAGAGCUAACAAGGACUGGGCUCUGCCCUCAUCGCCUCAUUUGAAGAACCUCCUUCUACAAGCCUCAUUUCAAUUAGCAACUCCAAUUUAAGGAUUGAGUUUCCAAGGCAUGGACUUUUGGGUGUCUGCUGAAACCCUGGCAAAGAAGGACGGCAUGCCUACCUCCCUUCUAGCCUCCCCUCCUCUUUCUCUCUCCUCCUUUCUGUUUAAAGCAGAGAUCAAGGAAUAAAAGCAAGGAUUGUUCUAUGGCAUGAAAA
This 771-nucleotide long non-coding RNA is filed under the name Mus musculus (house mouse). RNAcentral describes it as "RIKEN cDNA 1700001G11 gene (1700001G11Rik)". The record is from RNAcentral. Lineage: Eukaryota; Metazoa; Chordata; Mammalia; Rodentia; Muridae.